RNAcentral lists this ribosomal RNA (451 nucleotides) under uncultured bacterium. RNAcentral describes it as "partial 16S ribosomal RNA". It matches the Rfam family "Bacterial small subunit ribosomal RNA", at positions 29 to 523 of the family's 1533-position model. The record is from RNAcentral.
AACGAACGCUGGCGGCAGGCUUAACACAUGCAAGUCGAACGAACGUAGCAAUACGUGAGUGGCGCACGGGAGAGUAACACGUGGGAACCUACCUUUUGGUUCGGAAUAACGUCGGGAAACUGACGCUAAUACCGGAUACGCCCUAUGGGGGAAAGAUUUAUUGCCAAAAGAUGGGCCCGCGCUAGAUUAGCUUGUUGGUGAGGUAACGGCUCACCAAGGCGACGAUCUAUAGCUGGUCUGAGAGGAUGACCAGCCUCACUGGGACUGAGACACGGCCCAGACUCCUACGGGAGGCAGCAGUGGGGAAUAUUGGACAAUGGGGGAAACCCUGAUCCAGCCAUGCCGCGUGAAUGAUGAAGGCCUUCGGGUUGUAAAGUUCUUUUGGUGGGGACGAUGCUGACGGUACCCACAGAAUAAGCUCCGGCUAACUUCGUGCCAGCCGCCGCAGUAA